RNAcentral lists this ribosomal RNA (251 nucleotides) under uncultured bacterium. RNAcentral's name for it is "partial 16S ribosomal RNA". It matches the Rfam family "Bacterial small subunit ribosomal RNA", at positions 524 to 776 of the family's 1533-position model. The record is from RNAcentral.
UACAGAGGUCUCAAGCGUUGUUCGGAUUCAUUGGCGUAAAGGGUGCGUAGGCGGCGCGGUAAGUCGGGUGUGAAAUCUCGGGGCUUAACUCCGAAACUGCAUUCGAUACUGCCGUGCUUGAGGACUGGAGAGGAGACUGGAAUUUACGGUGUAGCGGUGAAAUGCGUAGAUAUCGUAAGGAAGACCAGUGGCGAAGGCGGGUCUCUGGACAGUUCCUGACGCUGAGGCACGAAGGUCAGGGAGCAAACGGG